GAUGUACGCUGGCGGCGUGCCUAAUCCCUGCAAGUCGAGCGGUAACGCGGGAGCAAUCCUGGCGACCAGCGGCGAACGGGUGAGUAACGAUUCGGAAUCUACCCAGUAGUGGGGAAUAACCAACCGUAAGGUUGGCUAAUGCCGCAUACGACCUGAGGGUGUAAGGGGGGGAUCGCAAGACCGCUCGCUACUGGCUGAGCCGAAGUCGGAUUAGCUAGUUGGUAGGGUAACGGCCUACCAAGGCGACAAUCCGUAGCUGGUCUGAGAGGACGACCAGCCACACUGGGACUGGGACGCGGCCCAGACUCCUACGGGAGGCAGCAGUGGGGAAGAUUGGACAAUGGGGGCAACCCUGAUCCAGCGACGCCGCGUGUGUGAAGAAGGCCUGCGGGUUGUAAAGCACUUUUAGUGGGGAUGAAAAGCUCAGGGCUAAUACCCUUGAGUCUUGACCUAACCCAAAGAAAAAGCACCGGCUAACUCUGUGCCAGCAGCCGCCGUAA
RNAcentral lists this ribosomal RNA (500 nucleotides) under uncultured bacterium. RNAcentral describes it as "partial 16S ribosomal RNA". It matches the Rfam family "Bacterial small subunit ribosomal RNA", at positions 28 to 523 of the family's 1533-position model. The record is from RNAcentral.